AUUAAUCGAGGAUGGGAUCAUGAGUUCACAUGUCCGCAUGAUUAAAGGUAUUUUCCGGUAGACGAUGGGGAUGCGUUCCAUUAGAUAGUAGGCGGGGUAACGGCCCACCUAGUCAACGAUGGAUAGGGGUUCUGAGAGGAAGGUCCCCCACAUUGGAACUGAGACACGGUCCAAACUCCUACGGGAGGCAGCAGUGAGGAAUAUUGGUCAAUGGGCGAUGGCCUGAACCAGCCAAGUAGCGUGAAGGAUGACUGCCCUAUGGGUUGUAAACUUCUUUUAUAAAGGAAUAAAGUCGGGUAUGCAUACCCGUUUGCAUGUACUUUAUGAAUAAGGAUCGGCUAACUCCGUGCCAGCAGCCGCGGUAAUACGGAGGAUCCGAGCGUUAUCCGGAUUUAUUGGGUUUAAAGGGAGCGUAGAUGGAUGUUUAAGUCAGUUGUGAAAGUUUGCGGCUCAACCGUAAAAUUGCAGUUGAUACUGGAUGUCUUGAGUGCAGUUGAGGCAGGCGGAAUUCGUGGUGUAGCGG
Molecule: ribosomal RNA, 523 nt
Filed under: uncultured bacterium
Lineage: Bacteria
Description: bacterial SSU rRNA
Rfam family: Bacterial small subunit ribosomal RNA
Source: RNAcentral